RNAcentral lists this unclassified non-coding RNA (262 nucleotides) under Hevea brasiliensis (rubber tree). The record is from RNAcentral. Lineage: Eukaryota; Viridiplantae; Streptophyta; Magnoliopsida; Malpighiales; Euphorbiaceae.
GGAGAUUUGGAAGUAAUUAAAUGGGAGGUAUCAUGAAGAACAAAAUACGUGGUUGGGUGUGAUAAUAUGAAGAUCUGGUGAGGUAUAUAAAAUAGAAAGGAGAAAAAGAGAGAUCUGACAUAGCCACUCUGUGAAGAACAAGUAGCACAUAAUAAACAUGGAUUGUAUGGUGUCAAAUUCCGGCGUGCCACCACGUAGCAUGUUGACAAGAACCCCAGUCUUAUGGGACAAAGGUUUGCCUUUCAAGAGUAUUGUAUUCUAA